CCCACUGAUCCAUCCAUUCAUCCAUCUACCAUCCAUCCAUCUAUCCACCCAUCUGUCACCCACUUAGUCAUCUAUCCAUCCAUCUACCCAUCCGUCCAUCUGUUUGUCCAUCCGCCCUUCUACCCAUCCAUUGUGGAUGGACCUAGCCAGGACCAGCAUCAUCAGUGAGCAAGAACAGGAUGUGCACUGGGUUUUGGGGUAGUUACUUAACUUCAGCGGCACCCAGUGCUGUGGAGUGAAUCACUACUGGACCGUCCUGGUUUGGGGGAAACAGAGGCCUCAACAGGUGUCAUCGCACCUAGGUCGAGGGAGAAGUUAUUCAGGCACAAGGGAGCAGAGUCCAGGCACAGCUUGUGCAAAGGUCCUGAGGAACGGAAAAGUGAGUGCAGCCAGUGAAAUCGUGAAGACUAGCAUGAGUGGGCGUCCCUCCUAUUCUCCACUUCUACUCUGAUGACAAGGGUAAACCCAUCAAGGAGGGACUUAGGGUGGUAGGAGAGCAAGGCGGAACAGGGAGAACGACAGCAUGUCCAGCCAGUGUGCCUGCUGUGCCUUAACACUGUCCUCAGAUCUCCAUCCAGUUCCUGGUGUACAGAAGCCAUGAUGCUGAUGCUGCCUCAGAGCGAGAGCCGCUCCUCCCAAGCUGACCCCACAGCUGCCCUCCCAGGAAGGAGUGAUACUGCCGCCACUGGACUGGGCCUAGGAGGUGGCCUGGGACUCUGGGCCUGGCUGCCUCCCCUCCACACCUGGCCUUCAGACAGGUCUAGAGUUGGCACAGGUCUGGAGUUGGCGUGUGCUAUGCCGGGACAUACCUCUCAGGUAUAUGACAGCUGUCCGAGGAGCCUCUAGGGCACCCCAGAAGACGGUGUGGCCUCCUCCCAAUCAAACUACCUCAAUCUGACUAUGUACUCCUGGCUACAUCAUAGCUGGGGGACCCAGGGUUGUCCCUCUGACUGGGCACAACCUAGUAAAUAGUACCUUCCAGCUGGGCCUGUUUCUGCUGCUCCUUCCCAUGGUGCUUGAGGUCUAGGCAGGGAUCCAGGGCAAGCCCAUCCUGAUAGGGGGGGCACGUGCAGCCUCCCUGGCCCUUGGCAUCCUAACUUGUAUCCUUCUGUCCUCUUGUACACAGACCCUACCUGGUGUGGGACACCAGUGGUCUCUCUGUUCCUGGGGCUCUGGGAGAAGCAGAUAACCAAGGGCAGGCUUUGGUUGAGCAUCACCAGAGGCCUGGCAUGACCAUGUGACCGCCCCCUCUGUCCUUGCCCAGGCCGUGUAGGGUGAGGCAGCUAGCCCAAAGCGAGGCAUGUAGUCAAGUGUCUCAUACAGUCAGAGCUCAGUGAUGGUCGCUGAAGUGGAGAAGAGGGGAAGACUGGUGCCUUUCUGAGGAAGGCAGAGACUAGAAGCACAGGUGGAAAACAAGGCCAGCAGGAGACGGGUGACGGGGGCAGAGAGGAAGGGAGGAAGAUUGGUCUCAGCGGUCUUUGUUACAACACCUUUAGGG
Molecule: long non-coding RNA, 1498 nt
Filed under: Rattus norvegicus (Norway rat)
Lineage: Eukaryota; Metazoa; Chordata; Mammalia; Rodentia; Muridae
Description: long non-coding RNA NONRATT023770
Source: RNAcentral